CAGGAUCACAGAAAACCCUUGGAGUUGUU
Molecule: non-coding RNA, 29 nt
Filed under: Homo sapiens (human)
Lineage: Eukaryota; Metazoa; Chordata; Mammalia; Primates; Hominidae
Source: RNAcentral